RNAcentral lists this ribosomal RNA (815 nucleotides) under uncultured bacterium. RNAcentral describes it as "bacterial SSU rRNA". It matches the Rfam family "Bacterial small subunit ribosomal RNA", at positions 8 to 796 of the family's 1533-position model. The record is from RNAcentral.
AGAGUUUGAUCAUGGCUCAGAACGAACGCUGGCGGCGUGCCUAACACAUGCAAGUCGUACGAGAAACACGACCUUCGGGUUGUGGAGUAAAGUGGCGCACGGGUGAGUAACACGUGGGUAACCUGCCCCAUGGACCGGGAUAACUGGCCGAAAGGCCCGCUAAUACCGGAUAAGACCACAUGAGCUUCGGCUCAAGGGGUCAAAGUCGGCCUCUCGAUGAAGCCGGCACCAAGGGAGGGGCCCGCGGACCAUUAGCUUGUUGGUAGGGUAACAGCCUACCAAGGCUGAGAUGGUUAGCUGGUCUGAGAGGAUGAUCAGCCACACUGGAACUGAGAUACGGUCCAGACUCCUACGGGAGGCAGCAGUGAGGAAUAUUGCGCAAUGGAGGCAACUCUGACGCAGCAACGCCGCGUGGGUGAAGAAGGCUUUCGGGUUGUAAAGCCCUGUCAGGUGGGAAGAACCCUCUAUAGGUGAAUAGUCUAUGGAGCUGACGGUACCACCAAAGGAAGCACCGGCUAACUCCGUGCCAGCAGCCGCGGUAAGACGGAGGGUGCAAGCGUUGUUCGGAAUCACUGGGCGUAAAGCGCGUGUAGGCGGUCCGGUAAGUCGAGUGUGAAAGCCCGAGGCUCAACCUCGGAAGUGCACUCGAAACUGUCGGGCUUGAGUACGGGAGAGGGAAGCGGAAUUCCUGGUGUAGAGGUGAAAUGCGUAGAUAUCAGGAGGAACACCGGUGGCGAAGGCGACUUCCUGGACCAAUACUGACGCUGAGGCGCGAAGGCGUGGGGAGCAAACAGGAUUAGAUACCCUAGUAGUCC